UUAAUCGAAACCAAAAUAGAGGUAUAUUACUGUUAAUAAUAUGAUUGAAUAAAAUUCCGAUUAAG
RNAcentral lists this transfer RNA (65 nucleotides) under Ischnoptera sp. B084. RNAcentral's name for it is "tRNA-Asn". The record is from RNAcentral. Lineage: Eukaryota; Metazoa; Arthropoda; Insecta; Blattodea; Blattellidae.